UAGUCCACGCCGUAAACGAUGGGUACUAGGUGUUGCGGGUGUUGACCCCUGCAGUGCCGAAGCUAACGCAUUAAGUAUCCCGCCUGGGAAGUACGGUCGCAAGAUUAAAACUCAAAGGAAUUGACGGGGGCCCGCACAAGCGGUGGAGCAUGUGGUUUAAUUCGAUGCAACGCGAAAAACCUUACCUGGGUUUGAAAUCCCCGGACAGCUUACGAGAGUAAGUUUUCUCUUAGGAGACCGGGUGUACAGGUGCUGCAUGGCUGUCGUCAGCUCGUAUCGUGAGAUGUCGGGUUAAGUCCCUUAACGAGCGCAACCCUUGUCCCUAUUUGCCAGCAUUAAGUUGGGUACUCUAGGGAGACUGCCCGUGUUAAGCGGGAGGAAGGUGGGGAUGACGUCAAGUCCUCAUGGCCCUUACGUCCAGGGCUACACACGUGCUACAAUGGCCGGUACAGAGGGUCGCCAACCAGCAAUGGGGAGCGUAAUCUCAGAAAGACCGGUCUCCAGUUCGGAUUAGAGUCUGCAACUCGACUCUA
RNAcentral lists this ribosomal RNA (533 nucleotides) under uncultured bacterium. RNAcentral's name for it is "bacterial SSU rRNA". It matches the Rfam family "Bacterial small subunit ribosomal RNA", at positions 791 to 1320 of the family's 1533-position model. The record is from RNAcentral.